Schistosoma haematobium is the source of this 48-nucleotide non-coding RNA. NCBI's taxonomy places the organism in Eukaryota, Metazoa, Platyhelminthes, Trematoda, Strigeidida, Schistosomatidae. The record is from Rfam.
AUCCAGCUGACGAGUCCCAAAUAGGACGAAACACGAGUCAAACUGGAU